GCCAACGUCAUCCUCUGGCGCAGAUGCCC
RNAcentral lists this small RNA (29 nucleotides) under Bombyx mori (domestic silkworm). Its description in RNAcentral is "ovarian small RNA-16582". Lineage: Eukaryota; Metazoa; Arthropoda; Insecta; Lepidoptera; Bombycidae. The record is from RNAcentral.